ACUUUACACUGCGGGAAACCGCGAUAAGGGAACACCGAGUGCCAGCAUCCUAUGUUGGCUGUCCACAUGUGUAAAUAACAUGUGUUAGCAAGGGCCGGGCAAGACCGGUGCCAGCCGCCGCGGUAACACCGGCGGCCCGAGUGGUGGCCACUAUUAUUGGGUCUAAAGGGUCCGUAGCCGGUUUGGUCAGUCUUCCGGGAAAUCUGACGGCUUAACCGUUAGGCUUCCGGGGGAUACUGCCAGACUUGGGACCGGGAGAGGUAAGAGGUACUACGGGGGUAGGAGUGAAAUCUUGUAAUCCCUGUGGGACCACCAGUGGCGAAGGCGUCUUACCAGAACGGGUCCGACGGUGAGGGACGAAAGCUGGGGGCACGAACCGGAUUAGAUACCCGGGUAGUCCCAGCCGUAAACUAUGCUCGCUAGGUGUCAGGGACGGUGCGACCGUUUCUGGUGCCGCAGGGAAGCCGUGAAGCGAGCCACCUGGGAAGUACGGUCGCAAGGCUGAAACUUAA
This 512-nucleotide ribosomal RNA is filed under the name uncultured Methanomethylovorans sp. RNAcentral's name for it is "bacterial SSU rRNA". It matches the Rfam family "Archaeal small subunit ribosomal RNA", at positions 347 to 859 of the family's 1478-position model. The record is from RNAcentral. Lineage: Archaea; Methanobacteriati; Methanobacteriota; Methanomicrobia; Methanosarcinales; Methanosarcinaceae.